GAGAUUAUAGUCAAAUAUGACAUUUGAGUUGCAUUCAAAAAGUACUUAUAGUUAAUUUUA
This 60-nucleotide transfer RNA is filed under the name Glyphocrangon regalis. RNAcentral's name for it is "tRNA-Ala". The record is from RNAcentral. Lineage: Eukaryota; Metazoa; Arthropoda; Malacostraca; Decapoda; Glyphocrangonidae.